GACAGAGGUGCCGAGCGUUAGGCGGAAUCACUGGGCUUAAAGCGUGUGUAGGCGGGUCGUUAAGUAACUUGUGAAAUCCCCCGGCUCAACCGGGGAAUGGCUGGGUAUACUGGCGAUCUUGAGCGAUCCAGGGGCAGAUGGAACAAGUGGUGGAGCGGUGAAAUGCGUAGAUAUCACUUGGAACGCCAAAGGUGAAGACAGUCUGCUGGGGAUCUGCUGACGCUGAGACACGAAAGCCAGGGGAGCGAACGGG
This 253-nucleotide ribosomal RNA is filed under the name uncultured bacterium. RNAcentral describes it as "partial 16S ribosomal RNA". It matches the Rfam family "Bacterial small subunit ribosomal RNA", at positions 524 to 776 of the family's 1533-position model. The record is from RNAcentral.